AGAGAAGUACUCAAGUGGCUGAAAAGGCGCCCCUGCUAAGGGUGUAGGUCGGGUAACCGGUGCGAGGGUUCAAAUCCCUUCUUCUCUGCCA
This 91-nucleotide transfer RNA is filed under the name Bacillus sp. AFS031507. RNAcentral describes it as "tRNA-Ser". It matches the Rfam family "tRNA". From Rfam's summary of the family: Transfer RNA (tRNA) molecules are approximately 80 nucleotides in length. Their secondary structure includes four short double-helical elements and three loops (D, anti-codon, and T loops). Lineage: Bacteria; Bacillati; Bacillota; Bacilli; Caryophanales; Bacillaceae. The record is from RNAcentral.